GAUGAACGCUGGCGGCGUGCCUAAUACAUGCAAGUCGAGCGAACAGACGAGGAGCUUGCUCCUCUGACGUUAGCGGCGGACGGGUGAGUAACACGUGGAUAACCUACCUAUAAGACUGGGAUAACUUCGGGAAACCGGGGCUAAUACCGGAUAAUAUAUUGAACCGCAUGGUUCAAUAGUGAAAGACGGUUUUGCUGUCACUUAUAGGUGGAUCCGCGCCGCAUUAGCUAGUUGGUAAGGUAACGGCUUACCAAGGCAACGAUGCGUAGCCGACCUGAGAGGGUGAUCGGCCACACUGGAACUGAGACACGGUCCAGACUCCUACGGGAGGCAGCAGUAGGGAAUCUUCCGCAAUGGGCGAAAGCCUGACGGAGCAACGCCGCGUGAGUGAUGAAGGUCUUCGGAUCGUAAAACUCUGUUAUUAGGGAAGAACAAAUGUGUAAGUAACUAUGCACGUCUUGACGGUACCUAAUCAGAAAGCCACGGCUAACUACGUG
RNAcentral lists this ribosomal RNA (497 nucleotides) under uncultured bacterium. RNAcentral's name for it is "partial 16S ribosomal RNA". It matches the Rfam family "Bacterial small subunit ribosomal RNA", at positions 28 to 507 of the family's 1533-position model. The record is from RNAcentral.